RNAcentral lists this ribosomal RNA (430 nucleotides) under uncultured Thermus sp. Its description in RNAcentral is "bacterial SSU rRNA". It matches the Rfam family "Bacterial small subunit ribosomal RNA", at positions 148 to 582 of the family's 1533-position model. Lineage: Bacteria; Thermotogati; Deinococcota; Deinococci; Thermales; Thermaceae. The record is from RNAcentral.
CUGGGGAAACCCAGGCUAAUCCGCCAUGUGGUCCUGUCCUGUGGGGCAGGACUAAAGGGUGGAUAGCCCGCUUCCGGAUGGGCCCGCGUCCCAUCAGCUAGUUGGUGGGGUAAAGGCCCACCAAGGCGACGACGGGUAGCCGGCCUGAUAGGAUGGCCGGCCACAGGGGCACUGAGACACGGGCCCCACUCCUACAGGAGGCAGCAAUUAGGAAUCUUCCGAAAUGGACGGAAGUCUGACGGAGCGACGCCGCUUGGAGGAGGAAGCCCUUCAGGGUGUAAACUCCUGAACUGGGGACGAAAGCCCCGUGUAGGGGGAUGACGGUACCCAUGUAAUAUCGCCGGCCAACUCCAUGCCAGCACCCGCGGUAAUACGGAGGGCGCGAGCGUUACCCGGAUUUACUGGGCGUAAAGGGCAUGUACGCGGCUUG